RNAcentral lists this ribosomal RNA (301 nucleotides) under uncultured bacterium. RNAcentral describes it as "partial 16S ribosomal RNA". It matches the Rfam family "Bacterial small subunit ribosomal RNA", at positions 509 to 807 of the family's 1533-position model. The record is from RNAcentral.
CAGUAGCCGCGGGAAUACAGAGGGUGCGAGCGUUAAUCGGAUUUACUGGGCGUAAAGCGUGCGUAGGCGGCUUUUUAAGUCGGAUGUGAAAUCCCUGAGCUUAACUUAGGAAUUGCAUUCGAUACUGGGAAGCUAGAGUAUGGGAGAGGAUGGUAGAAUUCCAGGUGUAGCGGUGAAAUGCGUAGAGAUCUGGAGGAAUACCGAUGGCGAAGGCAGCCAUCUUGCCUAAUACUGACGCUGAGGUACGAAAGCAUGGGGAGCAAACAGGAUUAGAUACCCCCGUAGUCCCUGUCUCUUAUAC